CGGGGACCCGCACAAGCGGUGGAGCAUGUGGUUUAAUUCGAAGCAACGCGAAGAACCUUACCAAAUCUUGACAUCCUCUGACCCCUCUAGAGAUAGAGUUUUCCCCUUCGGGGGACAGAGUGACAGGUGGUGCAUGGUUGUCGUCAGCUCGUGUCGUGAGAUGUUGGGUUAAGUCCCGCAACGAGCGCAACCCUUAAGCUUAGUUGCCAUCAUUAAGUUGGGCACUCUAAGUUGACUGCCGGUGACAAACCGGAGGAAGGUGGGGAUGACGUCAAAUCAUCAUGCCCCUUAUGAUUUGGGCUACACACGUGCUACAAUGGACAAUACAAAGGGUAGCGAAACCGCGAGGUCAAGCAAAUCCCAUAAAGUUGUUCUCAGUUCGGAUUGUAGUCUGCAACUCGACUAUAUGAAGCUGGAAUCGCUAGUAAUCGUAGAUCAGCAUGCUACGGUGAAUACGUUCCCGGGUCUUGUACACACCGCCCGUCACACCACGAGAGUUUGUAACACCCGA
Molecule: ribosomal RNA, 511 nt
Filed under: Staphylococcus sp. LIPOA/UEL_68
Lineage: Bacteria; Bacillati; Bacillota; Bacilli; Caryophanales; Staphylococcaceae
Description: bacterial SSU rRNA
Rfam family: Bacterial small subunit ribosomal RNA
Source: RNAcentral